GUAGAUAUAGUUUAACCAAAAUGCUAGAUUGUGAUUCUGAAGACGGGGGUUAAAGUCCCCCUAUCCACC
RNAcentral lists this transfer RNA (69 nucleotides) under Fistularia petimba (red cornetfish). Its description in RNAcentral is "tRNA-His". It matches the Rfam family "tRNA". Rfam says of the family: Transfer RNA (tRNA) molecules are approximately 80 nucleotides in length. Lineage: Eukaryota; Metazoa; Chordata; Actinopteri; Syngnathiformes; Fistulariidae. The record is from RNAcentral.